AGUAAUUCACACUGAAAGACAGUAGACCUGUACUAUCUCAAAAAUCGGCAUAACAAGAAGAGUUUUAUUUAUUAUUUUUAAAUGAAAGUCUACCUUGUCACUGCUUUAAAAAAAUAUUGACAAAUUUAAAGUUGAUUUUUAUAUUGGGAGUUCUGGUUUAAGAUGGUGUCAGAAUUGGGAUCCAAAGUAGAGCUUCUAAUGAUCCCCAUGAGCACUGAGUGACCAUCCGAGGUACCUGCCAGUCUUACUGUGUCCUUUGGUCUCUUGGAGCAGCUGGGGACUAUGAGUCUCCGGAUUCCGGGAUCUAAAUGGGUAGUCAUGAUGAGAACGCAAAGACUGAAUCUUUGGAGAACAUCAGAGAAUCACUGCCCUUGCUAUUCACACUGCAGCAAAACUUCGGGAACUUGAACCUUGGAUUCAUAAUCUCACAACUGAGAAGGGUCCCUCCACACUCUUGGAACUGUACACCCACUGGAAAACCUUAAGAUUACUUACUGGCUAAACAGAAGUAUCUGUGCAGCUGGUGGCACUUGUUGCCCAUGGAGAACUACAUCAUAGUGCAUAUUAUAGAGAUUCAGUUGUACGGGAUUAUUGAAGAGACUGUUUAAUUAAAUCUCCUAGAUGCUACUUCAUAAAGAAGACCUGUGAUUGUGAACUGGGUGAGUUCAUUUCUAAGAAGUGGG
This 683-nucleotide long non-coding RNA is filed under the name Homo sapiens (human). RNAcentral's name for it is "HSALNT0376635". The record is from RNAcentral. Lineage: Eukaryota; Metazoa; Chordata; Mammalia; Primates; Hominidae.